RNAcentral lists this ribosomal RNA (351 nucleotides) under Triticum aestivum (bread wheat). RNAcentral's name for it is "partial small subunit ribosomal RNA". Lineage: Eukaryota; Viridiplantae; Streptophyta; Magnoliopsida; Poales; Poaceae. The record is from RNAcentral.
AUGAAGUGCAGUACAUGCAUAAAUGAAGAACGACAAGGGCCCCAACACACACACUUGCUACACGAAGUGCAGUACUCAACGCUGGUGCAAGCAGUACAAAUGACAUCAUUUUUGUUUUUCCAUCAAAGGGGACGCGCGCAAAACCCCCGGAGCCACACCCCUAAGAUAGACAGGGGGGCGACGGGGUAUGACGGACUCGCCUACGCAUGCGGCGCCGCGGCAAGCCACGUCGCCGCCUGCUCCAGCUCGUUCCAGGCUCGGCCUCGCAGGGGGAUGUGGAGGGGGGGUCACGACCCCCCCUCCCCACCCCCUGCUCGGCCUCGCGCUAACGCAUGCAGUGCACUUGGUUGA